AAGUCUGGUGCCAGCAGCCGCGGUGACUUCAGCUCCAAUAGCGUAUAUUAACAUUGUUGCAUUUAAAAAGCUCGUAGUUGAAUUUAUUUUUAUAAAUUUUAUAUAAGUAGUAUUAUUUUAUAAUAAAAUUAUUUAAAUUUAUUUUUUAUAAUUUUAUUAUAUAUUAAACGGUAAUAUUAUUUAUAAUUUAUAAAAAAAUUUUAUGUUAUAUUAUUUAGUAAUAGAUAAUAUAAUACAAAUAUUACUGUGAAAAAAUUAGAGUGUUUAAAGCAUGUAUAUAAAAUUAAAAAAUAUAUUUUCUGAAUAUAUUUUUUUAGCUUGAAUAUAUUAGCAUGGAGUAAUAAUAUUAUAAUAUUUUUAUAUUAUUUUGUUGGUUAAAUAUAAAAAUAUAUGAUUAAUAGGGACAAUUGGGGGUAUUUAUAUUUCAUAGUCAGAGGUGAAAUUCUGGGAUUUAUGAAAGAUAAACAAAUGCGAAAGCAUUUACCGAAAAUGUUUUCAUUAAUCAAGAACGAAAGUUAGGGGAUCAAAGAGGCUUAGAUACCCUCGUAG
Molecule: ribosomal RNA, 549 nt
Filed under: Opalinidae sp.
Lineage: Eukaryota; Bigyra; Opalinata; Opalinidae
Description: partial small subunit ribosomal RNA
Rfam family: Eukaryotic small subunit ribosomal RNA
Source: RNAcentral